GAUGAACGCUGGCGGCGUGCCUAAUACAUGCAAGUCUAGCGAACAGACGAGAAGCUUGCUCCUCUGACGUUAGCGGCGGACGGGUGAGUAACACGUGGAUAACCUACCUAUAAGACUGGGAUAACUUCGGGAAACCGGAGCUAAUACCGGAUAAUAUAUUGAACCGCAUGGUUCAAUAGUGAAAGACGGUCUUGCUGUCACUUAUAGAUGGAUCCGCGCUGCAUUAGCUAGUUGGUAAGGUAACGGCUUACCAAGGCAACGAUGCAUAGCCGACCUGAGAGGGUGAUCGGCCACACUGGAACUGAGACACGGUCCAGACUCCUACGGGAGGCAGCAGUAGGGAAUCUUCCGCAAUGGGCGAAAGCCUGACGGAGCAACGCCGCGUGAGUGAUGAAGGUCUUCGGAUCGUAAAACUCUGUUAUUAGGGAAGAACAAAUGUGUAAGUAACUGUGCACAUCUUGACGGCACCUAAUCAGAAAGCCACGGCUAACUACGUG
This 497-nucleotide ribosomal RNA is filed under the name uncultured bacterium. RNAcentral's name for it is "partial 16S ribosomal RNA". It matches the Rfam family "Bacterial small subunit ribosomal RNA", at positions 28 to 507 of the family's 1533-position model. The record is from RNAcentral.